AAUGAACGCUGGCGGCAGGCCUAACACAUGCAAGUCGAACGGGUGCCUUCGGGUGCUAGUGGCGGACGGGUGAGUAACGCGUGGGAACAUACCCUUUGGUACGGAAUAGCCUCGGGAAACUGAGAGUAAUACCGUAUGUGCCCUUCGGGGGAAAGAUUUAUCGCCAAAGGAUUGGCCCGCGUUGGAUUAGGUAGUUGGUGGGGUAAUGGCCUACCAAGCCGACGAUCCAUAGCUGGUUUGAGAGGAUGAUCAGCCACACUGGGACUGAGACACGGCCCAGACUCCUACGGGUGGCUG
RNAcentral lists this ribosomal RNA (297 nucleotides) under uncultured Pseudomonadota bacterium. RNAcentral's name for it is "uncultured proteobacterium partial 16S ribosomal RNA". It matches the Rfam family "Bacterial small subunit ribosomal RNA", at positions 29 to 351 of the family's 1533-position model. The record is from RNAcentral. Lineage: Bacteria; Pseudomonadati; Pseudomonadota.